Molecule: ribosomal RNA, 434 nt
Filed under: uncultured Clostridium sp.
Lineage: Bacteria; Bacillati; Bacillota; Clostridia; Eubacteriales; Clostridiaceae
Also listed under: 1 other name
Description: partial 16S ribosomal RNA
Rfam family: Bacterial small subunit ribosomal RNA
Source: RNAcentral
ACGGAAGGCAGCAGUGGGGAAUAUUGCACAAUGGGCGAAAGCCUGAUGCAGCGACGCCGCGUGAGUGAAGAAGUAUCUCGGUAUGUAAAGCUCUAUCAGCAGGGAAGAAAAUGACGGUACCUGACUAAGAAGCCCCGGCUAACUACGUGCCAGCAGCCGCGGUAACACGUAGGGGGCAAGCGUUAUCCGGAUUUACUGGGUGUAAAGGGAGCGUAGACGGUUUGGCAAGUCUGAAGUGAAAUGCGGGGGCUCAACUCCUGAACUGCUUUGGAAACUGUCGAACUAGAGUGCAGGAGAGGUAAGUGGAAUUCCUAGUGUAGCGGUGAAAUGCGUAGAUAUUAGGAGGAACACCAGUGGCGAAGGCGGCUUACUGGACUGUAACUGACGUUGAGGCUCGAAAGCGUGGGGAGCAAACAGGAUUAGAUACCCUGGUA